RNAcentral lists this ribosomal RNA (327 nucleotides) under uncultured archaeon. Its description in RNAcentral is "bacterial SSU rRNA". It matches the Rfam family "Archaeal small subunit ribosomal RNA", at positions 102 to 431 of the family's 1478-position model. The record is from RNAcentral.
AGUCAACAUGCCCAGGGGACGUGGAUAACCUCGGGAAACUGAGGAUAAACCGCGACAGGCCAAGAUUUCUGGAAUGAAUCAUGGUUUAAAUCUAUAUGGCCCCUGGAUUGGACUGCGGCCGAUCAGGCUGUUGGUGAGGUAAUGGCCCACCAAACCUGUAACCGGUACGGGCUCUGAGAGGAGGAGCCCGGAGAUGGGCACUGAGACAAGGGCCCAGGCCCUAUGGGGCGCAGCAGGCGCGAAACCUCUGCAAUAGGCGAAAGCUUGACAGGGUUACUCUGAGUGAUUUCCGUUAAGGAGAUCUUUUGGCACCUCUAAAAAUGGUGC